Molecule: ribosomal RNA, 246 nt
Filed under: uncultured soil bacterium
Lineage: Bacteria
Description: partial 16S ribosomal RNA
Rfam family: Bacterial small subunit ribosomal RNA
Source: RNAcentral
AGAACGAACGCUGGCGGCGUGGAUAAGACAUGCAAGUCGAACGGGAUAUCACGAGUAGCAAUAUGAGUGAUGUUCAGUGGCGAACGGGUGCGUAACACGUGGAUACAUUCCGGGAAGCGGGGGAUAGCCCAGGGAAACUUGGAUUAAUACCGCAUGUGGUCGAAAGACUAAAGGACGGGGACCGCAAGGCCUGUCACUUCCCGAUUGGUCCGCGGCCUAUCAGCUAGUUGGCGGGUAAAGCCCACC